This 334-nucleotide unclassified non-coding RNA is filed under the name plant metagenome. Its description in RNAcentral is "partial contains 5.8S ribosomal RNA, internal transcribed spacer 2, and large subunit ribosomal RNA". The stretch from base 1 to 105 matches the Rfam family "5.8S ribosomal RNA", at positions 50 to 154 of the family's 154-position model. The record is from RNAcentral.
GAAAUGCGAUAAGUAAUGUGAAUUGCAGAAUUCAGUGAAUCAUCGAAUCUUUGAACGCACAUUGCGCCCGGCAGCAAUCUGCCGGGCAUGCCUGUCCGAGCGUCAUUUCUGCCCUCGAGCGCGGUUCGGCCCCUAGCGGGCCGGCCGCCGCCCGGUGUUGGGGCGCUGCGGGCCCUCGUGCCCACAGGCCCUGAAAUGAAGUGGCGGUCCCGCCGCGGCGCCCCCUGCGUAGUAGUAAAGCACCUCGCAUCGGGUCCCGGCGGAGGCCAGCCGUCGAACCUCUCUUUUGAUGGUUUGACCUCGGAUCAGGUAGGGUUACCCGCUGAACUUAAGC